RNAcentral lists this ribosomal RNA (435 nucleotides) under uncultured Gammaproteobacteria bacterium. Its description in RNAcentral is "bacterial SSU rRNA". It matches the Rfam family "Bacterial small subunit ribosomal RNA", at positions 1011 to 1446 of the family's 1533-position model. Lineage: Bacteria; Pseudomonadati; Pseudomonadota; Gammaproteobacteria. The record is from RNAcentral.
AAUGUGCCUUCGGGGAACCGUGAGACAGGUGCUGCAUGGCUGUCGUCAGCUCGUGUUGUGAAAUGUUGGGUAAGUCCCGCAACGAGCGCAACCCUUAUCCUUUGUUGCCAGCGGUCCGGCCGGGAACUCAAAGGAGACUGCCAGUGAUAAACUGGAGGAAGGUGGGGAUGACGUCAAGUCAUCAUGGCCCUUACGACCAGGGCUACACACGUGCUACAAUGGCGCAUACAAAGAGAAGCGACCUCGCGAGAGCAAGCGGACCUCAUAAAGUGCGUCGUAGUCCGGAUUGGAGUCUGCAACUCGACUCCAUGAAGUCGGAAUCGCUAGUAAUCGUGGAUCAGAAUGCCACGGUGAAUACGUUCCCGGGCCUUGUACACACCGCCCGUCACACCAUGGGAGUGGGUUGCAAAAGAAGUAGGUAGCUUAACCUUCGGG